AGCCGUUUAGUUUAUAGCAGAAUAAUUGAUUGUGGUUCUUUUGGAUUUUCGGCUA
RNAcentral lists this transfer RNA (55 nucleotides) under Paraleius leontonychus. RNAcentral's name for it is "tRNA-His(gtg)". The record is from RNAcentral. Lineage: Eukaryota; Metazoa; Arthropoda; Arachnida; Sarcoptiformes; Scheloribatidae.